AUACGGAGGAUGCGAGCGUUAUCCGGAUUUAUUGGGUUUAAAGGGUGCGUAGGCUGUGCGUUAAGUCAGGGGUGAAAUGCCGUCGCUCAACGACGGAGCUGCCCUUGAUACUGGCGUGCUGGAGUACGGAUGCCGUUGGAGGAAUGAGUGGUGUAGCGGUGAAAUGCUUAGAUAUCACUCAGAACACCGAUUGCGAAGGCAUCUGACGAAUCCGUCACUGACGCUGAGGCACGAAAGCGUGGGGAUAGAACAGGAUUAGAUCCCCUGGUAUUCCACGCCGUAAACGAUGAUGACUAACCGUCGGCGAUAGACAGCCGGUGGCCAAGCGAAAGCGAUAAGUCAUCCACCUGGGGAGUACGUCGGCAACGAUGAAACUCAAAGGAAUUGACGGGG
This 393-nucleotide ribosomal RNA is filed under the name uncultured bacterium. RNAcentral's name for it is "partial 16S ribosomal RNA". It matches the Rfam family "Bacterial small subunit ribosomal RNA", at positions 523 to 918 of the family's 1533-position model. The record is from RNAcentral.